RNAcentral lists this ribosomal RNA (336 nucleotides) under Triticum aestivum (bread wheat). RNAcentral describes it as "partial small subunit ribosomal RNA". Lineage: Eukaryota; Viridiplantae; Streptophyta; Magnoliopsida; Poales; Poaceae. The record is from RNAcentral.
AUGCUGAGACUUGUUGGUUUGCUAGGUUAUUUUGGAGUUGUAGAGAAAGAUCUGGUAACAAAUGAGAAUGAGAUCAAGCUGAGACUGGUCGUGUGGCCACCUCUGAAGUUGAGGUCGAGUUCGCAUGCACACUGCAUACUGUCAGGCCUGGAAAUCUACUCAAUAGACAUGCAAUUUCUCUAUGAAGCUCUAAGUUUUCGUCUCUCACCAAGAUCCUUGAGUACUGUGGAGCAGCUUCUUCAUCCAGCCUCAUGUUUUCGUCUUCAGCAGGACUACAAGGCGAAUUGCUACAUAAACAGUAGAGAGCGUGGGGACGGCCUGCCCCACAUCCCAUGA